Molecule: ribosomal RNA, 427 nt
Filed under: uncultured bacterium
Lineage: Bacteria
Description: bacterial SSU rRNA
Rfam family: Bacterial small subunit ribosomal RNA
Source: RNAcentral
UGGGGAAUUUUGGACAAUGGGGGCAACCCUGAUCCAGCCAUCCCGCGUGUGCGAUGAAGGCCUUCGGGUUGUAAAGCACUUUUGGCAGGGAAGAAACAGCCUGGGCUAAUAUCCCGGGCGACUGACGGUACCUGCAGAAUAAGCACCGGCUAACUCCGUGCCAGCAGCCGCGGUAAUACGGAGGGUGCAAGCGUUAUCCGGAUUUAUUGGGUUUAAAGGGUCCGUAGGCGGACUUAUAAGUCAGUGGUGAAAGCCUGUCGCUUAACGAUAGAACUGCCAUUGAUACUGUAAGGCUUGAGUAUAUUUGAGGUAGCUGGAAUAAGUAGUGUAGCGGUGAAAUGCAUAGAUAUUACUUAGAACACCAAUUGCGAAGGCAGGUUACCAAGAUAUAACUGACGCUGAGGGACGAAAGCGUGGGGAGCGAACA